Molecule: ribosomal RNA, 162 nt
Filed under: Priestia aryabhattai
Lineage: Bacteria; Bacillati; Bacillota; Bacilli; Caryophanales; Bacillaceae
Description: Bacillus aryabhattai partial 23S ribosomal RNA
Rfam family: Bacterial large subunit ribosomal RNA
Source: RNAcentral
AUGGUUAAGUUAGAAAGGGCGCACGGUGAAUGCCUUGGCACUAGGAGCCGAUGAAGGACGGGACUAACACCGAUAUGCUUCGGGGAGCUGUAAGUGAGCUUUGAUCCGGAGAUUUCCGAAUGGGGAAACCCACUGUUCGUAAUGGAACAGUAUCUUUAUCUG